RNAcentral lists this ribosomal RNA (253 nucleotides) under uncultured bacterium. Its description in RNAcentral is "partial 16S ribosomal RNA". It matches the Rfam family "Bacterial small subunit ribosomal RNA", at positions 524 to 776 of the family's 1533-position model. The record is from RNAcentral.
UACGUAGGGUGCAAGCGUUGUCCGGAAUUAUUGGGCGUAAAGAGCUCGUAGGCGGUCUGUCGCGUCGGAUGUGAAAAUCCAGGGCUCAACCCUGGACCUGCAGCCGAUACGGGCAGGCUAGAGUUCGGUAGGGGAGACUGGAAUUCCUGGUGUAGCGGUGAAAUGCGCAGAUAUCAGGAGGAACACCGGUGGCGAAGGCGGGUCUCUGGACAGUUCCUGACACUGAGGCACGAAGGCCAGGGGAGCAAACGGG